UUUGACACCACUCUCAAUUUUUCUGAGGUUAUUUGAAAACCUAACCGGCAGAGACAAUUACGCACGCUUUCGGCACUCAGAAGAGAUUGUUUUGAACGUGCCCAUGAUUGUUCCGUUUUCCAUAUUUACCUUAUCAAGUCCGUAAACUAUAGUAUAGGGGGUUAAUGUAGAUGUAUCUUUUCUGGCUUUUACACAGGCUCAUUGGUAAAUACUUGCAUCCUACGCAUCGAUUCGUGGGAACUACCCGUAACAACGAGUUGUUAAUUUGCCUGCUAUGUCACACAUUGGUACACCAAGGUACACAAAAGAGAUCAUCAAGGACAACAACCACCCGAGCCACUGCCUGUUCACCCCGCUAUCAUCCAGAAGGCGAGGAUUUCCUGUUAUCAACCUAUUGCCUGAUCUCCCGGACAACGUUACUAGCCUUUUCCCUGCCUGUACUGUUGCCUGUUUGACCUUCUGCCUGCCCCUGGACCCAGCUACCUGCCUCCUCC
Molecule: long non-coding RNA, 494 nt
Filed under: Salmo salar (Atlantic salmon)
Lineage: Eukaryota; Metazoa; Chordata; Actinopteri; Salmoniformes; Salmonidae
Description: lncRNA (ENSSSAG00000114348.1)
Source: RNAcentral